UACAGAGGUCUCAAGCGUUGUUCGGAUUCAUUGGGCGUAAAGGGUGCGUAGGCGGCGCGGUAAGUCGGGUGUGAAAUCUCGGGGCUUAACUCCGAAACUGCAUUCGAUACUGCCGUGCUUGAGGACUGGAGAGGAGACUGGAAUUUACGGUGUAGCGGUGAAAUGCGUAGAUAUCGUAAGGAAGACCAGUGGCGGAGGCGGGUCUCUGGACAGUUCCUGACGCUGAGGCACGAAGGUCAGGGGAGCGAACAGG
Molecule: ribosomal RNA, 253 nt
Filed under: uncultured bacterium
Lineage: Bacteria
Description: partial 16S ribosomal RNA
Rfam family: Bacterial small subunit ribosomal RNA
Source: RNAcentral